AAACCGCCAACCUUCCGAUUGAUAGACGACCGACUCUACCCACUGAGCCACAGCCGCGUAUGUAUGUUUCUAUGUUUCAGAAUGCUAGAUGCUUGCCAGUGUAUAGCUGCAAUCGGUGCAAUUAAAAGAUCCUCCUCACCGUCUGAGCCCGCCUCCUCCGUUGCUGUCCCGCCUGCUCCGUCUGCUCCACCUGGAUCAUGAUGUACUCCUGCCUGGUGAGGUCGAUCACCCCUCCUGUAAAGGGCCCUGCGACCUGCAGCUUCAGCAUGGCGUUGUCUCGAAAGUCUGUCACAUUCAUCGCUGCGGGACGAGGAACGUUAAGAGAAAAAGAUCGAUACUUCCUGUUCCUUUGUUUGAUUGGAGAAGGAACAAAGUGUCCUGCAGAUGACUGUCGGGUUUUGUUUUUUUAUGUUAGAAUGAAAACCAGAACAGGACACGGCACAAUUACUUUACUUUAACUUCCUGGAAGUGAUUACAUGCUUCAAAAGAAUCCUCCUUGAAUAUGACUCAGAGAUUAGAAAGCUGUACUCAGGACUAUUCAUUCACCUGUCAGGGUUCUUAACACUGCCUUCACCUAUUUUCAUCUACUACAAUCACCCUGAUUAAAGCCUGAUGAAGUCA
Notolabrus celidotus (New Zealand spotty) is the source of this 621-nucleotide long non-coding RNA. RefSeq lists it as uncharacterized. The record is from RefSeq and is a predicted model, not a curated record. Lineage: Eukaryota; Metazoa; Chordata; Actinopteri; Labriformes; Labridae. The transcript is spliced from 2 exons.